Molecule: ribosomal RNA, 739 nt
Filed under: uncultured bacterium
Lineage: Bacteria
Description: bacterial SSU rRNA
Rfam family: Bacterial small subunit ribosomal RNA
Source: RNAcentral
CAUCGGAACAUGUCCCGUCGUGGGGGAUAACGUAGCGAAAGUUACGCUAAUACCGCAUACGACCUGAGGGUGAAAGCGGGGGCUCGCAAGACCUCGCGCGAUGGGAGUGGCCGAUGUCCGAUCAGCUAGUUGGUGAGGUAAAGGCCCACCAAGGCGACGACCGGUAGCGGGUCUGAGAGGAUGAUCAGACACACUGGAACUGAGACACGGCCCAGACUCCUACGGGAGGCAGCAGUGAGGAAUAUUGCACAAUGGAGGAAACCCUGAUCCAGCAACGCCGCGUGGAGGAUGACGCAUUUCUGUGUGUAAACUCCUUUUAAGAGGGAAGAUAAUGACGGUACCUCUUGAAUAAGCACCGGCUAACUCCGUGCCAGCGGCCGCGGUAAUACGGAGGGUGCAAGCGUUACUCGGAAUCACUGGGCGUAAAGGGUGCGUAGGCUGGCUUCUAAGUCAGAUGUGAAAUCCAAUGGCUUAACCAUUGAACUGCAUUUGAAACUGGGAGCCUAGAGUUCAGAAGGGGCAGAUGGAAUUAGUGGUGUAGGGGUAAAAUCCGUAGAUAUCACUAGGAAUAUCAAAAGCGAAGGCGAUCUGCUGGGAUGAUACUGACGCUGAGGCACGAAAGCGUGGGGAGCAAACAGGAUUAGAUACCCUGGUAGUCCACGCCCUAAACGAUGAAUGCUAGUCGUCGGGGAGCUCGUCUCUUCGGUAAUGCACUUAACAGAUCAAGCAUCCGCCUGGG